CUACGAAGGGGGCUAGCGUUGUUCGGAAUCACUGGGCGUAAAGCGCGCGUAGGUGGAUCAAUUAGUUGAGGGUGAAAUCCCGGGGCUCAACCUCGGAACUGCCUUCAAUACUGUUGAUCUUGAGACCGAGAGAGGUGAGUGGAAUUCCUAGUGUAGAGGUGAAAUUCGUAGAUAUUAGGAAGAACACCAGUGGCGAAGGCGGCUCACUGGCUCGGUACUGACGCUGAGGUGCGAAAGCGUGGGGAGCAAACAGGAUUAGAUACCCGAGUAGUCC
This 274-nucleotide ribosomal RNA is filed under the name uncultured bacterium. RNAcentral's name for it is "partial 16S ribosomal RNA". It matches the Rfam family "Bacterial small subunit ribosomal RNA", at positions 523 to 796 of the family's 1533-position model. The record is from RNAcentral.